RNAcentral lists this ribosomal RNA (369 nucleotides) under uncultured Rhodocyclaceae bacterium. RNAcentral's name for it is "bacterial SSU rRNA". It matches the Rfam family "Bacterial small subunit ribosomal RNA", at positions 1013 to 1382 of the family's 1533-position model. Lineage: Bacteria; Pseudomonadati; Pseudomonadota; Betaproteobacteria; Rhodocyclales; Rhodocyclaceae. The record is from RNAcentral.
AGUGCUCGCAAGAGAACCGGAACACAGGUGCUGCAUGGCUGCGUCAGCUCGUGUCGUGAGAUGUUGGGUUAAGUCCCGCAACGAGCGCAACCCUUGUCAUUAGUUGCCAUCAUUUGGUUGGGCACUCUAAUGAGACUGCCGGUGACAAACCGGAGGAAGGUGGGGAUGACGUCAAGUCCUCAUGGCCCUUAUGGGUAGGGCUUCACACGUCAUACAAUGGUCGGUACAGAGGGUUGCCAACCCGCGAGGCGGAGCCAAUCCCACAAAGCCGAUCGUAGUCCGGAUUGCAGUCUGCAACUCGACUGCAUGAAGUCGGAAUCGCUAGUAAUCGCGGAUCAGCAUGUCGCGGUGAAUACGUUCCCGGGUCUU